CUACUUUGCUGACGAGCGGCGGACGGGUGAGUAAUGCUUGGGAACAUGCCUUGAGGUGGGGGACAACAGUUGGAAACGACUGCUAAUACCGCAUAAUGUCUACGGACCAAAGGGGGCUUCGGCUCUCGCCUUUAGAUUGGCCCAAGUGGGAUUAGCUAGUUGGUGAGGUAAUGGCUCACCAAGGCGACGAUCCCUAGCUGGUUUGAGAGGAUGAUCAGCCACACUGGGACUGAGACACGGCCCAGACUCCUACGGGAGGCAGCAGUGGGGAAUAUUGCACAAUGGGCGCAAGCCUGAUGCAGCCAUGCCGCGUGUGUGAAGAAGGCCUUCGGGUUGUAAAGCACUUUCAGUCAGGAGGAAAGGUUAACGGUUAAUACCCGUUAGCUGUGACGUUACUGACAGAAGAAGCACCGGCUAACUCCGUGCCAGCAGCCGCGGUAAUACGGAGGGUGCGAGCGUUAAUCGGAAUUACUGGGCGUAAAGCGUACGCAGGCGGUUUGUUAAGCGAGAUGUGAAAAGCCCCGGGCUCAACCUGGGAACUGCAUUUCGAACUGGCAAAC
Molecule: ribosomal RNA, 560 nt
Filed under: Alteromonadales bacterium HD-I-03-5
Lineage: Bacteria; Pseudomonadati; Pseudomonadota; Gammaproteobacteria; Alteromonadales
Description: bacterial SSU rRNA
Rfam family: Bacterial small subunit ribosomal RNA
Source: RNAcentral